UACGAAGGGUGCAAGCGUUACUCGGAAUUACUGGGCGUAAAGCGUGCGUAGGUGGUUCGUUAAGUCUGAUGUGAAAGCCCUGGGCUCAACCUGGGAAUGGCAUUGGAAACUGGCGAUCUAGAGUGCGGUAGAGGGCAGUGGAAUUCCCGGUGUAGCAGUGAAAUGCGUAGAGAUCGGGAGGAACAUCUGUGGCGAAGGCGACUGCCUGGACCAGCACUGACACUGAGGCACGAAAGCGUGGGGAGCAAACAGG
Molecule: ribosomal RNA, 253 nt
Filed under: uncultured bacterium
Lineage: Bacteria
Description: partial 16S ribosomal RNA
Rfam family: Bacterial small subunit ribosomal RNA
Source: RNAcentral